GCCGGUGUAGCUCAGGGGUAGAGCGUUUCCUUGGUAAGGAAGAGGUCGGCGGUUCAAAUCCGCUCGCUGGCU
Molecule: transfer RNA, 72 nt
Filed under: Flavobacteriaceae bacterium
Lineage: Bacteria; Pseudomonadati; Bacteroidota; Flavobacteriia; Flavobacteriales; Flavobacteriaceae
Also listed under: 1 other name
Description: tRNA-Thr
Rfam family: tRNA
About the family: Transfer RNA (tRNA) molecules are approximately 80 nucleotides in length.
Source: RNAcentral